AUUGAACGCUGGCGGCAGGCUUAACACAUGCAAGUCGAGCGGAGAUGAGGUGCUUGCACCUUAUCUUAGCGGCGGACGGGUGAGUAAUGCUUAGGAAUCUGCCUAUUAGUGGGGGACAACAUUCCGAAAGGAAUGCUAAUACCGCAUACGUCCUACGGGAGAAAGCAGGGGAUCUUCGGACCUUGCGCUAAUAGAUGAGCCUAAGUCGGAUUAGCUAGUUGGUGGGGUAAAGGCCUACCAAGGCGACGAUCUGUAGCGGGUCUGAGAGGAUGAUCCGCCACACUGGGACUGAGACACGGCCCAGACUCCUACGGGAGGUAGCAGUGGGGAAUAUUGGACAAUGGGGGGAACCCUGAUCCAGCCAUGCCGCGUGUGUGAAGAAGGCCCUAUGGUUGUAAAGCACUUUAAGCGAGGAGGAGGCUACUGAGACUAAUACUCUUGGAUAGUGGACGUUACUCGCAGAAUAAGCACCGGCUAACUCUGUGCCAGCCGCCGCGGUAA
RNAcentral lists this ribosomal RNA (501 nucleotides) under uncultured Pseudomonadales bacterium. RNAcentral describes it as "bacterial SSU rRNA". It matches the Rfam family "Bacterial small subunit ribosomal RNA", at positions 30 to 523 of the family's 1533-position model. The record is from RNAcentral. Lineage: Bacteria; Pseudomonadati; Pseudomonadota; Gammaproteobacteria; Pseudomonadales.